RNAcentral lists this ribosomal RNA (158 nucleotides) under Anguillospora furtiva. RNAcentral's name for it is "5.8S ribosomal RNA". It matches the Rfam family "5.8S ribosomal RNA". From Rfam's summary of the family: 5.8S ribosomal RNA (5.8S rRNA) is a component of the large subunit of the eukaryotic ribosome. It is transcribed by RNA polymerase I as part of the 45S precursor that also contains 18S and 28S rRNA. The record is from RNAcentral. Lineage: Eukaryota; Fungi; Ascomycota.
AACUUUCAACAACGGAUCUCUUGGUUCUGGCAUCGAUGAAGAACGCAGCGAAAUGCGAUAAGUAAUGUGAAUUGCAGAAUUCAGUGAAUCAUCGAAUCUUUGAACGCACAUUGCGCCCCGUGGUAUCCGCGGGGCAUGCCUGUUCGAGCGUCAUUAUA